GGGGAUUAGUGGCGAACGGGUGAGUAACACGUGAGUAACCUGCCCUUAACUCUGGGAUAAGCCUGGGAAACUGGGUCUAAUACCGGAUAUGACUCCUCAUCGCAUGGUGGGGGGUGGAAAGCUUUAUUGUGGUUUUGGAUGGACUCGCGGCCUAUCAGCUUGUUGGUGAGGUAAUGGCUCACCAAGGCGACGACGGGUAGCCGGCCUGAGAGGGUGACCGGCCACACUGGGACUGAGACACGGCCCAGACUCCUACGGGAGGCAGCAGUGGGGAAUAUUGCACAAUGGGCGCAAGCCUGAUGCAGCGACGCCGCGUGAGGGAUGACGGCCUUCGGGUUGUAAACCUCUUUCAGUAGGGAAGAAGCGAAAGUGACGGUACCUGCAGAAGAAGCGCCGGCUAACUACGUGCCAGCAGCCGCGGUAAUACGUAGGGCGCAAGCGUUAUCNNGGAAUUAUUGGGCGUAAAGAGCUCGUAGGCGGUUUGUCGCGUCUGCNGUGAAAGUCCGGGGCUCAACUCCGGAUCUGCGGUGGGUACGGGCAGACUAGAGUGAUGUAGGGGAGACUGGAAUUCCUGGUGUAGCGGUGAAAUGCGCAGAUAUCAGGAGGAACACCGAUGGCGAAGGCAGGUCUCUGGGCAUUAACUGACGCUGAGGAGCGAAAGCAUGGGGAGCGAACAGGAUUAGAUACCCCUGGUAGUCCAUGCCGUAAACGUUGGGCACUAGGUGU
Molecule: ribosomal RNA, 726 nt
Filed under: bacterium EJ10-36
Lineage: Bacteria
Description: bacterial SSU rRNA
Rfam family: Bacterial small subunit ribosomal RNA
Source: RNAcentral